RNAcentral lists this transfer RNA (75 nucleotides) under Chloroflexota bacterium. Its description in RNAcentral is "Chloroflexi bacterium tRNA-Cys". It matches the Rfam family "tRNA". From Rfam's summary of the family: Transfer RNA (tRNA) molecules are approximately 80 nucleotides in length. Their secondary structure includes four short double-helical elements and three loops (D, anti-codon, and T loops). Lineage: Bacteria; Bacillati; Chloroflexota. The record is from RNAcentral.
GGCCCCGUGGUCAAGCGGAAAGGCCCCGCACUGCAAAUGCGGGCGACGCGGGUUCGAGUCCCGCCGGGGCCUCCU